AGAGAGAGAAAGGAGCGCGUGUUUGCCAGGUAUUGUGCUAAGUCCAGCGGAAAACGCGUGGAAUCGGUGUGCAACCUUUAUGGGGCAGGAAAGUAAGUAUGGGGCAGUUAGAUUCGAUAAACAUCGAGCGGAGAACGAGAAUACAAACGUUUUCCCGUCGGCGGUUACGUUCCGCCGCCGGUGCUCGUGCUUCAAAGGAAGUUAUUCGAGUCGCGCUAAAAGGACACGCAGUCUCGCGUACAAUACGAGAAAAAAAUAUAACCGCGGGGAAAAAUGCGGUCAACGAGUAUUGUCGAACGAAAAACUCAGGUAAACAGUCGGGUAUGGUGUUCAAGGCGAAAAGAAAAAUCGCUUUUAGCGUACGCAAUAGCGCGCCUCUUUUUCUUUCCCUUAUUUUUUAGAUUAAAAGAUGUUGGUCGUUUGAACGAGAGAAAUACAGGGGCGACACUCGCUAAUUGAAAUACCGACUGGGUAAUCGGCGGAUUCGUCGUUUAUAUUGGAUGGCACUUCGACCGCUAUCGAACGGUAUCCAUAAGCGUGGAAUUACGGCGUUGUAUUUCUCCGGAACUGGCUUUGCACACGUCCUUUCGCCAGAUGCCGUCUUCCCGAUAUCGUCUUCCCUUUGACCGGAGUUAUUACUUAUACCACGAGGGUAUCGGCGGUUUAUUUUGUCGACGACGUAAGAGACGUCGGCGGCUGAGGUGAGCAAAAGGAACGACGAAAAGAGAGUAGUAGCAGUGCAAAGAGUGAAAGAGACAAGCCAAGUGAAAGAGUAAGAGAGUGAAAGAGGAACGGAUGGAAGGGAGGGCGAAGGAUCUCUCCGCAGAUUAGAGCGCGAAUCAAUAUUGGGCAGCGAGGCGAGGCUUUUAUCGGCGCUGAAAGAAAUCCCCUCGCUUCCUUCUUCGAGUGGGCACCGACUUGGAAUGGAAACCAGUGGUAGAGAACCGGGCAAGGAAAAACGAAGGAGACGGAACGAGAGUAUGGAUAGAGAGAUACGCGUAUAUAGGAGAGUAGUUCGGGGGACGGAGAUGGAAAAAAGAGACAGAAUUGAGAGUGACGGAAAGAGACACGAAAGAUGAAGAGGGGAGCGACGAUGGAGACGAAGGAUAAGCACGAAGGGUAUGAGGAGAACUGAAGAGCCCAUGGAAGGAGGAACUCAGCGGAGAAAGGGAGAAGUAAGAGGACGAGGAUUCCGUUCGAGCAACUUACCGGACUUCUACGUUCUCUCCACGGUCGAGGAUUUACAGAUUACGCGCUGGUAGACCGAGCUCCUGAGUGCGACCGAGAGAGAAACCUAUCGAGAGUGGCGACGCGCGAACGAGCAAGGGAGAGAACGCGAGAAUCGGCACGAGCGAGAAGGAUGGUAUAAAGGAAUGACACGGAGAGGGAGUCAAGGACCAUUCGGCGCGAUGAGUGCGACGAAAACGGAGCUAUCGAGUCCGCGCGGACUCGAACGGGUGCCGGUGACUCGACCAAUCAGAGACUAGCGUUCUGGCCAGUCGACCAAUCCGUUGGCGCUGCGAGCAUUACACGUUUAUUAUCACGCGGGAAAAAGAAAUGACUGUUUAUAAAUAAUUAGAGAGGUUUUAAUUAACCCUCGGGACGCUCUCGGACCGCCGGUAUCCAUCGCUGUUUUAAUCGCUCGGUCGGUUUUACCAUGGACGACGACACCGCCUCCGCCACCGCCAGCACCACCACCGUCUGUUCAAUCUAUCCCUACUCAUAACGAAACCGCGUUAUAUUUGUAAAACUAAACCAUCGAUCGGCAUCGGUCAUUAAAGGCAACCCUUGUUCUCGUUUUCUUCGCUGCCAGACGUCUUGUGUCAAGGUGUCUGAUGUAUAUGUAUGCGUAUAUAUGUGUAUACUUGCAACGGUAUAGAGUAUAUUUACCUACACGAUUUUAUCUUUUCCCACUUUCUUUUUUCUUUCCUCGAUGACAAGAAUAUUUUGCUUUUUUCCUUUCUUUUCGGUAUCUGCGCGGCACACGUCGAAACGAAACAUGGGAGCGUAUGCUAUAUUAUUAGAAAAUGUUGUGUUCUGGUCCCCUCUGAGUGUAUACGUCGACUCGUGAAUUCGUAUGCACUAUUUUCUCGUCAAAAAUUCAUCUGACCGUUUUUGACUGCAUCACGUUAUCCAACAGGCAAUUGCUUUCCGAUGGAUAGAAUCGCGGCCUCUAAAAUCUUUCCAAAAGGCCUCCAAUGGCGUGGACACGACAAAAGGGAAAUCAAAGCAUCGUCGAAGAGUUUUUACGAUCGAACGCCCCGCUUUCGUGGCGAGGGGUUCUUCAGUUUAGCUUCCUCGCUACUUUUGGCUGCCACCGGCUUCGUCUCGAAUAUUUUAUUCUCCUCUCUCGUUCACCGUAUCUUUUCCACGCUGGAUAAAAGAUGCUCCGUAAGAUCCUUCUUCGGUUGGUUGGCCACGUUCGUGCAAAUUCACAUAUACACAUACACAUAGCGCUUACCAUACACACAGCGCUUAGCAUACACACACACACACACACACACACACAUACACACAACGCGUGCACAUACACAGAGAAUAAACUUUCGCACCUUCUUCUCUAUGAGUAAGAUUUAUCGGGAAGAAAGUUGCCACGACAAAGGGGUAAAUGACUUUCAAAUAUCUCAGCUUUUCGAACGCGUCAGCUGUGAGUCAGAAUUUCGAGUGUGAGGGCGCUGCGAGCGACGCCAACGAUAGUUCCAACGAUGUUCAUAGAGCUUGUCCUAUUUCGAAACGAGUCUUCCUAAUCUGAGAAGAGUGGUUUCAAAGAGAAGGAGAGGUCGAGAUUUUCAUUCGAAAAGCAUCACGUAAUCCACACACGGUCUCGUCGACUCCGUGAAAUCGUCCAAGUUCACUCACGGUAUUUCCUAGACGAAUUUAACGACGACGCAUCAGAGAGUUCGUGUAUGCGCUACCAACCGUUUGUACCACACAAAGAGGUCGCUGCGGAAACUCGAUCUUUCUAGAAAGUUCUACGAGUCUGUUCGAAAGAAUCAUGAAAUUUUCAACUGUUGUGUUAUCGAAAAUAGAAUUUCCGAUUGCUUUGCAUUGUUCAAUAUUUGUUAAAUGGAUACUAAGUGAAGAAAAUUUUGAAGAAAAUUUGAUUGAAAUUGCUUUUCCUUAUGUAUCAGAAAAGAUACACGCAGAGAGGCACGCGGAGAAGAGAACGAACCAAAAUAAAGGGUACAAUGAAAGAGGAGAAAAAAGAAAAAGGCAAGAACUGGUGUCGCGAGAAGCAAGUCGUCGAGAUGUCUUCAUCGUUCCACGAUUCGAAGCCGUUCGUCAUUUCCGGUGGACGAGACUCGCGACUAUCUCUUCGUCUCGCGAGUCGAUCGUCGAAUUUGUUUUGCAAUCCCGGCGCCUUGUUUAUCGUUGGUACACAUCGUGUACCGUCCGAGAGAUAGAAGACCUCGUUCCUCGAGGUUCGGGGUUUCGUCCGGUCGGCGAAAGGGAAUGCAUCGAACGGCCGGCUCCGGUCCCUUUUUCGCGUUUCCUGACCGGUAUCUGCACGUGUAAGGACAGGGCAAAGCAGAUAGCGGCGUGGCGAGCGUGUCGAUCCGUUUAUCGAGCCGUGUAUUUACGCGCGCCGUGACUCGUAGACGCGCGUUCGCCAGAUAACCGCGAUAAUAUAGAAACGCCAAUAAUGAAAUACGAUAAGCCGGGCAUAGAAUUUGUAUACGACGGCCCGUCGUGGAUUAAAGAGCUGUUAGCAUAAUCUGAACGACUCUAUACCUAUGUCCCAACAAACAGGCGCGCGGGGGCAAUUAGAAACGCUUCUCGUUCGUCGUACACCGCUGCGUGUAUAUAAUCCACGCACGCGGCCGUAUACACUGGAGGGGGAUACACAUCGAGAGGCGUACAACGGGCUCGAUACAACGAAGAUCGAGAUACGUAAGUAUUAUGCGCGAUUUGCUCGACCGCGAUAAACCUUUCGCGCGUUUCCUCUUCCCCGCGAAUAAAUUACGCGACGAUAGGUUGACACGCGUCCCGCGUCCAAUUCUUUUUUUCCCUUUUCGAAAUCGAAGAUUCCACUCGCUUUCGUUGAACGUCGCUAAUCGUCUCGUUUUACGCUUACAUCGUGCUUGUCGCUGACUCGACGGGACCCUUCUUCCCUCACCCUCCCUGGUCCGUAUCCCCUCCCUUUCCAUCGUAGUUUUAUCUCUGUCCGCCAGGAGGACGGGAACACGCGUCGUCGCAAGACUCAGGUAGGGAGCAAAGUCAAUUUCGAGGCGAGAUGCCACGGGGUUAAUGGGCCUCCUUUGUCGUAAAUUCGGGCUUUAGUGUGAAAGCUGCCUAAACCUACCUCCGUUGCUCCUUCCUCGCCAGAGGAAUCCCCCUCGCUUCGUGCCUCUGGGAGCCUUGUAACAAACAGGAUACAGCUAUCUCUCUUCCGCCCCCUCCAUCUGUCGGCAUCGCCUGCCGCCACAUCGUCGAGCGAUUUAUUAUCCGACC
Apis dorsata (giant honeybee) is the source of this 4452-nucleotide long non-coding RNA. RefSeq lists it as uncharacterized. Lineage: Eukaryota; Metazoa; Arthropoda; Insecta; Hymenoptera; Apidae. The record is from RefSeq and is a predicted model, not a curated record. The transcript is spliced from 3 exons.